AGCUCUUCCGUUUACUCUCAGGGAACCACGGGGUGUGCUGGCUGCAGUUGUUUUUGUCUAGUCGAGAGCAAACCUUCAUGUGAGACCUGCAGCAGGGCAAACAUCUGGGGGCGGGCAGUGGUAUCCAAGAGGGAAAGGACCAUUGCUGUGGACUCUGCAGCUACAUCAUUUUAUAUGGUCACCUUUUCUAUAGUAUUAUUAAAUUAUGUAAGGUCUGCAUGUCCUUUAUUUUAUUAAUCAAUAAAGCCGCUUUGUCAUGA
This is a non-coding RNA of Dermacentor andersoni, 260 nucleotides long. Lineage: Eukaryota; Metazoa; Arthropoda; Arachnida; Ixodida; Ixodidae. The record is from RefSeq and is a predicted model, not a curated record.